CCAGGCCUCACCCAGCUCCCACACAAUCUGAAGGGCCGGUCUCACUCCCACCAUGACCUCCACCCAACAGCACUGAGUCUGUUUCCACGUAGUGGGUGAGCAGGUCUGAGAACUUGCCCCAGGCUACCCACCUCCCAGCUGUGAAAGCAAAUAUGGCUUUUUUUUCUUCUCCCACCUGUGGAGUCUGCACACCAGAUUCAUGCCCUCCCUCGAGUUCUGGCUAGGAGGCUUCUCAGUCACUUCAAAUUGUUACAAAGUUCAGCUGGAGAUUUCCUUCUCCCUGUAGCCUUUCCCAAUGCCUCUGUCUGCCCUCCCAAAAGACCUCUGUGAGGCCAGGCAAAAACGGCUUGUUAGGGGACCCAGUGAGCUCCCAGUGCUUUUCCUGCUGCUUCUCCUAACACUGUAUGUUUCUUGGCUCUCUAAACUCACUCAGCUCCAGUGUUUCUGCAACAGCAUGAGCUCGGCCAGUGAAAUGCAGCUGGG
RNAcentral lists this long non-coding RNA (483 nucleotides) under Homo sapiens (human). RNAcentral's name for it is "HSALNT0310689". Lineage: Eukaryota; Metazoa; Chordata; Mammalia; Primates; Hominidae. The record is from RNAcentral.